AGUAACACGUAAACAACCUGCCUUCAGGAUGGGGACAACAGACGGAAACGACUGCUAAUACCGAAUAAGUUCCAAGAGCCGCAUGGCCCAUGGAAGAAAAGGUGGCCUCUACCUGUAAGCUAUCGCCUGAAGAGGGGUUUGCGUCUGAUUAGCUGGUUGGAGGGGUAACGGGCCCACCAAGGCGACGAUCAGUAGCCGGUCUGAGAGGAUGAACGGCCACACUGGAACUGAGACACGGUCCAGACUCCUACGGGAGCAGCAUG
Molecule: ribosomal RNA, 263 nt
Filed under: uncultured bacterium
Lineage: Bacteria
Description: partial 16S ribosomal RNA
Rfam family: Bacterial small subunit ribosomal RNA
Source: RNAcentral